ACUUUAAAGUUAAAUAAGCUAAAAAAAUGGCUAGAUGAUGAUAAUAUCGUGUGUGCUAAAGAUGAUAAGAGUAAGAUGAUAGUUCUUAUCAAGAAAGAAACUUAUGACUCUUUUAUUAAUGAAUUUAUUGAAAAUAACAAUUGUGAACAACUACAUUAUGACUCCACUGAGGCAAUUAAUAAUGAAAUGAGAAAAAUUAUGAAUGAUACCCGUCUGUCUGGCUUCUUGAAAAGCUCUAUAGUUAAGUCACCUAGACCCCCAAGACUCUUUGCAUUCAUUAAAAGGCAUAAAAACCCUCUUGAAGCUCGCCCUGUUGUAGAAAAACACUCGGCACCAACAUACCUACUAGGAAAAUGACUGGCCAAUUGGUGUUAUCAGAAAUUAAGAAAUUAUGAGUUUUUCACCACAUCCUCGAAAGACUUUAUAGAUAACCUAUUAGAAACUGGUCCUCUACUGGACCAAAUUAUGCAAAUAUAUGAUUUCAAAGCUUUAUAUCCAUCUAUUCGCCUAGAACCAGCAUGCUUACUUUUAUAUAGGUUCCUUCUCCAUCAUUUGCCUAUUAAUAUUUGUAAACCAGACAUCCUGUGGCAAAUAUGUCAUCUUAUUGUACAUAAAUCUUAUUUUGUAUUUGAUGGUAAAACAAACAAUAG
Molecule: long non-coding RNA, 650 nt
Filed under: Androctonus crassicauda
Lineage: Eukaryota; Metazoa; Arthropoda; Arachnida; Scorpiones; Buthidae
Source: RNAcentral